Molecule: ribosomal RNA, 963 nt
Filed under: Crocidura crenata
Lineage: Eukaryota; Metazoa; Chordata; Mammalia; Eulipotyphla; Soricidae
Description: partial 16S ribosomal RNA
Rfam family: Bacterial large subunit ribosomal RNA
Source: RNAcentral
AAAUUCCAAUGUAGACUAAAACGUUAAUCUGCAGAGGUACAGCUCUACAGAAUAAGAUUACAAUCUUGAUUAGAGAGUAAAAUUAUGUAAUUACCAUAGUUGGCCUAAAAGCAGCCAUCAAUUAAGAAAGCGUUCAAGCUCAACAACCAAAUUCUAACUUAAUCCCAAAAAUUACGUUAACUCCUAAUUUGGUUACUGGAUUAUCCUACCACAUGUAGAAGAAAUACUGUUAAUAUGAGUAACAAGAUUUUUAUCUCCAAACACACAUGUACAUCAGCUCGUACACCAACUGAUAAUUAACAAUUAGAUAAAUCUGCAUAUUUAAUUAAUAAUUUUCCAUUAUAUUGUUGACCCAACACUGGAGUGUAUCUAAGGAAAGAUUAAAAAAAGUAAAAGGAACUCGGCAAACACAAACCCCGCCUGUUUACCAAAAACAUCACCUCUAGCAUUACCAGUAUUAGAGGCACUGCCUGCCCAGUGACAUUAGUUAAACGGCCGCGGUAUCCUGACCGUGCAAAGGUAGCAUAAUCAUUUGUUCCUUAAUUAGGGACUUGUAUGAAUGGCCCCACGAGGGUUUAACUGUCUCUUACUUUUAAUCAGUGAAAUUGACCUUCCCGUGAAGAGGCGGGAAUAAAAAAAUAAGACGAGAAGACCCUAUGGAGCUUAAAUUGUAUGCUCAACAAAAUUUUAAUCCCACCCGACAGGAAAUAAUUAUAAUUUAACUGAGCAACAAAUUUUGGUUGGGGUGACCUCGGAGCACAACAGAACCUCCGAGUGAUUUUUACCAAGACUAACCCGUCAAGGUUACUUAACUUAUUGAUCCAAUCAUAUUGAUCAACGAAACAAGUUACCCUAGGGAUAACAGCGCAAUCCUAUUUGAGAGUUCGUAUCGACAAUAGGGUUUACGACCUCGAUGUUGGAUCAGGACACCCAAAUGGUGCAGCAGCUAUUAAAGGUUCGUUU